This 253-nucleotide ribosomal RNA is filed under the name uncultured bacterium. Its description in RNAcentral is "partial 16S ribosomal RNA". It matches the Rfam family "Bacterial small subunit ribosomal RNA", at positions 524 to 776 of the family's 1533-position model. The record is from RNAcentral.
GACGAACCGUGCGAACGUUGUUCGGAUUCACUGGGCUUAAAGGGCGCGUAGGCGGGUUGUCAAGUCAGGGGUGAAAGCCUCCAGCUCAACUGGAGAAGUGCCUUUGAUACUGAUGAUCUUGAGGGAGGUAGGGGCAUGUGGAACUUCCGGUGGAGCGGUGAAAUGCGUAGAUAUCGGAAAGAACACCAACGGCGAAAGCACUCUGCUGGGCCGACACUGACACUGAGAGACGAAAGCUAGGGGAGCGAAUGGG